Molecule: ribosomal RNA, 218 nt
Filed under: uncultured bacterium
Lineage: Bacteria
Description: partial 16S ribosomal RNA
Rfam family: Bacterial small subunit ribosomal RNA
Source: RNAcentral
CCUGGCUCAGAUUGAACGCUGGCGGCAUGCCCAACACAUGCAAGUCGAACGGCAGCACGACCUAGCUUGCUAGGUGGGUGGCGAGUGGCGGACGGGUGAGUAACGCGUAGGAGUAUACCUUAAAGAGGGGGACAACUUGGGGAAACUCAAGCUAAUACCGCAUAAGCUCUGAGGAGUAAAGCUGGGGACCGCAAGGCCUGGCGCUUUAAGAUUAGCCU